RNAcentral lists this ribosomal RNA (253 nucleotides) under uncultured bacterium. RNAcentral describes it as "partial 16S ribosomal RNA". It matches the Rfam family "Bacterial small subunit ribosomal RNA", at positions 524 to 776 of the family's 1533-position model. The record is from RNAcentral.
UACGGGGGGGGCAAGCGUUGUUCGGAAUUACUGGGCGUAAAGGGCUCGUAGGUGGCCAACUAAGUCAGACGUGAAAUCCCUCAGCUUAACUGGGGAACUGCGUCUGAUACUGGAUGGCUUGAGUUUGGGAGAGGGAUGCGGAAUUCCAGGUGUAGCGGUGAAAUGCGUAGAUAUCUGGAGGAACACCGGUGGCGAAGGCGGCUUCCUGGACCGACACUGACGCUGAGGCGCGAAAGCUAGGGGAGCAAACGGG